RNAcentral lists this ribosomal RNA (253 nucleotides) under uncultured bacterium. RNAcentral describes it as "partial 16S ribosomal RNA". It matches the Rfam family "Bacterial small subunit ribosomal RNA", at positions 524 to 776 of the family's 1533-position model. The record is from RNAcentral.
UACGGAGGGGGCUAGCGUUGUUCGGAAUUACUGGGCGUAGAGCGCACGUAGGCGGCUUUGUAAGUUAGAGGUGAAAGCCCGGGGCUCAACUCCGGAAUUGCCUUUAAGACUGCAUCGCUAGAAUUGUGGAGAGGUAAGUGGAAUUCCGGGUGUAGAGGUGAAAUUCGUAGAUAUUCGGAAGAACACCAGUGGCGAAGGCGGCUCACUGGACCGGUAUUGACGCUGAGGUGUGAAAGCGUGGGGAGCAAACAGG